GUUGUAGCUCAAUGGCAGAACCCUUGCCUAGCAUGCAUGAGGUCCUGGGUUCCAUCCCAGAACA
This 64-nucleotide transfer RNA is filed under the name Marmota monax (woodchuck). RNAcentral describes it as "tRNA.Ala". Lineage: Eukaryota; Metazoa; Chordata; Mammalia; Rodentia; Sciuridae. The record is from RNAcentral.